Molecule: ribosomal RNA, 429 nt
Filed under: Verrucomicrobiota bacterium
Lineage: Bacteria; Pseudomonadati; Verrucomicrobiota
Description: Verrucomicrobia bacterium partial 16S ribosomal RNA
Rfam family: Bacterial small subunit ribosomal RNA
Source: RNAcentral
UAGGGAAUCUUCGGCAAUGGGGGGAACCCUGACCGAGCAACGCCGCGUGAGUGAAGAAGGUUUUCGGAUCGUAAAGCUCUGUUGUUAAGGAAGAACGAGUGUGAGAAUGGAAAGUUCAUGCUGUGACGGUACUUAACCAGAAAGGGACGGCUAACUACGUGCCAGCAGCCGCGGUAAUACGUAGGUCCCGAGCGUUGUCCGGAUUUAUUGGGCGUAAAGCGAGCGCAGGCGGUUAGAAAAGUCUGAAGUGAAAGGCAGUGGCUCAACCAUUGUAGGCUUUGGAAACUGUUUAACUUGAGUGCAGAAGGGGAGAGUGGAAUUCCAUGUGUAGCGGUGGAAUGCGCAGAUAUUAGGAAGAACACCGGUGGCGAAGGCGGCCUUCUGGGCCAUAACUGACGCUGAGGAGCGAAAGCUAGGGGAGCGAACAGG